RNAcentral lists this ribosomal RNA (483 nucleotides) under uncultured bacterium. RNAcentral describes it as "partial 16S ribosomal RNA". It matches the Rfam family "Bacterial small subunit ribosomal RNA", at positions 28 to 523 of the family's 1533-position model. The record is from RNAcentral.
GACGAACGCUGGCGGCGUGCUUAACACAUGCAAGUCGAACGAUGAUGCCCAGCUUGCUGGGUGGAUUAGUGGCGAACGGGUGAGUAACACGUGAGUAACCUGCCCCUGACUCUGGGAUAAGCGUUGGAAACGACGUCUAAUACUGGAUACGACUGCCGGCCGCAUGGUCUGGUGGUGGAAAGAUUUUUUGGUUGGGGAUGGACUUGCGGCCUAUCAGCUUGUUGGUGAAGUAAUGGCUCACCAAGGCGACGACGGGUAGCCGGCCUGAGAGGGUGACCGGCCACACUGGGACUGAGACACGGCCCAGACUCCUACGGGAGGCAGCAGUGGGGAAUAUUGCACAAUGGGCGAAAGCCUGAUGCAGCAACGCCGCGUGAGGGAUGACGGCCUUCGGGUUGUAAACCUCUUUUAGUAGGGAAGAAGCGAAAGUGACGGUACCUGCAGAAAAAGCACCGGCUAACUACGUGCCAGCUGCCGCAGUAA